UACAGAGGGUGCAAGCGUUAAUCGGAAUUACUGGGCGUAAAGCGCGCGUAGGUGGUUUGUUAAGUUGGAUGUGAAAUCCCCGGGCUCAACCUGGGAACUGCAUCCAAAACUGGCAAGCUAGAGUAUGGUAGAGGGUGGUGGAAUUUCCUGUGUAGCGGUGAAAUGCGUAGAUAUAGGAAGGAACACCAGUGGCGAAGGCGACCACCUGGACUGAUACUGACACUGAGGUGCGAAGGCCAGGGGAGCAAACAGG
Molecule: ribosomal RNA, 253 nt
Filed under: uncultured bacterium
Lineage: Bacteria
Description: partial 16S ribosomal RNA
Rfam family: Bacterial small subunit ribosomal RNA
Source: RNAcentral